AGUGAACGCUGGCGGUAGGCCUAACACAUGCAAGUCGAACGGCAGCACAGGAGAGCUUGCUCUCUGGGUGGCGAGUGGCGGACGGGUGAGGAAUACAUCGGAAUCUACCUUUUCGUGGGGGAUAACGUAGGGAAACUUACGCUAAUACCGCAUACGACCUACGGGUGAAAGCAGGGGAUCUUCGGACCUUGCGCGAUUGAAUGAGCCGAUGUCGGAUUAGCUAGUUGGCGGGGUAAAGGCCCACCAAGGCGACGAUCCGUAGCUGGUCUGAGGGGAUGAUCAGCCAAACUGGAACUGAGACACGGUCCAGACUCCUACGGGAGUCAGCAGUGGGGAAUAUUGGACAAUGGGCGCAAGACUGAUCCAGCCAUACCGCGUGGGUGAAGAAGGCCUUCGGGUUGUAAAGCCCUUUUGUUGGGAAAGAAAUCCAGCUGGUUAAUACCCGGUUGGGAUGACGGUACCCAAAGAAUAAGCACCGGCUAACUUCGUGCCAGCAGCCGCCGUAA
This 506-nucleotide ribosomal RNA is filed under the name uncultured bacterium. RNAcentral describes it as "partial 16S ribosomal RNA". It matches the Rfam family "Bacterial small subunit ribosomal RNA", at positions 29 to 523 of the family's 1533-position model. The record is from RNAcentral.